GUCAGAGAAGUGACGGUGGAUACGAGCGGGGCAGAGGAAAAGCAAAAUCUGGUCCCGUUUCCUGGAAAACAUGCCUGCAGGACCCUGGGAUUCUCAUCAGGUUCUCCUCCUCCUGGCCCUCGGUGAGGCGGCGUCUCAGUUCGCCAAGCUCCCUCUCCACCGCCUCGCGGUACUGGUUCCACUGGC
Thunnus maccoyii (southern bluefin tuna) is the source of this 186-nucleotide long non-coding RNA. RefSeq lists it as uncharacterized. The record is from RefSeq and is a predicted model, not a curated record. The transcript is spliced from 3 exons. NCBI's taxonomy places the organism in Eukaryota, Metazoa, Chordata, Actinopteri, Scombriformes, Scombridae.